RNAcentral lists this ribosomal RNA (404 nucleotides) under uncultured eukaryote. Its description in RNAcentral is "SSU rRNA". It matches the Rfam family "Eukaryotic small subunit ribosomal RNA", at positions 592 to 991 of the family's 1831-position model. The record is from RNAcentral.
CAAUAGCGUAUAUUAAAGUUGUUGCAGUUAAAAAGCUUGUAGUUGGAUUUCUGGUAAGAUGCCCUGGCCCGCGUCUAACGUGAGUGCCGGUUGUGCGUCUGCCAUCCUUCUAGAAAACCUUCUUACCCUUCACUGGGCCGAGAAGGGGAUCUAGAUCUUUUACUUUGAAAAAAUUAGAGUGUUUAAAGCAGGCUUUUGCUAUGAAUACAUUAGCAUGGAAUAAUAAUCUAGGACUUCGGUUCUAUUUUGUUUGGUUUCUUAGAAACUAGAAGUAAAUGAUUGAUAGGGAUAGUUGGGGGUGGCUAGUAUUGAGCGGCCAGAGGUGAAAUUACUUGGAUUCGCUCAAGACUAACUUAUGCGAAAGCAUUCACCAAGGAUGUCUUCUUUAAUCAAGAACGAAAGUU